GUCUAUGGCCAUACCACCCUGCGUGUGCCUGAUCUCAUCUGAUCUCAGAAGCUAAGCAGGGUUGGGCCUGGUUAGCACUUGGAUGGGAGACAACCUGGGAAUGCUGAGUACUGCAGGCU
Molecule: ribosomal RNA, 119 nt
Filed under: Physeter macrocephalus (sperm whale)
Lineage: Eukaryota; Metazoa; Chordata; Mammalia; Artiodactyla; Physeteridae
Source: RNAcentral